AGACCCGAAACCCGGUGAUCUAGCCAUGGGCAGGUUGAAGGUUGGGUAACACUAACUGGAGGACCGAACCGACUAAUGUUGAAAAAUUAGCGGAUGACCUGUGGCUGGGGGUGAAAGGCCAAUCAAACCGGGAGAUAGCUGGUUCUCCCCGAAAGCUAUUUAGGUAGCGCCUCGUGAAUUCAUCUCCGGGGGUAGAGCACUGUUUCGGCUAGGGGGCCAUCCCGGCUUACCAACCCGAUGCAAACUGCGAAUACCGGAGAAUGUUAUCACGGGAGACACACGGCGGGUGCUAACGUCCGUCGUGAAGAGGGAAACAACCCAGACCGCCAGCUAAGGUCCCAAAGUCAUGGUUAAGUGGGAAACGAUGUGGGAAGGCCCAGACAGCCAGGAUGUUGGCUUAGAAGCAGCCAUCAUUUAAAGAAAGCGUAAUAGCUCACUGGUCGAGUCGGCCUGCGCGGAAGAUGUAACGGGGCUAAACCAUGCACCGAAGCUGCGGCAGCGACACUGUGUGUUGUUGGGUAGGGGAGCGUUCUGUAAGCCUGUGAAGGUGUGUCGUGAGGCAUGCUGGAGGUAUCAGAAGUGCGAAUGCUGACAUAAGUAACGAUAAAGCGGGUGAAAAGCCCGCUCGCCGGAAGACCAAGGGUUCCUGUCCAACGUUAAUCGGGGCAGGGUGAGUCGACCCCUAAGGCGAGGCCGAAAGGCGUAGUCGAUGGGAAACGGGUUAAUAUUCCCGUACUUGGUGUUACUGCGAAGGGGGGACGGAGAAGGCUAUGUUGGCCGGGCGACGGUUGUCCCGGUUUAAGCGUGUAGGUGUGUGUUCCAGGUAAAUCCGGUUCACUUUAACACUGAGGCGUGACGACGAGGCACUACGGUGCUGAAGCAACAAAUGCCCUGCUUCCAGGAAAAGCCUCUAAGCAUCAGGUAACAUCAAAUCGUACCCCAAACCGACACAGGUGGUCAGGUAGAGAAUACCAAGGCGCUUGAGAGAACUCGGGUGAAGGAACUAGGCAAAAUGGUGCCGUAACUUCGGGAGAAGGCACGCUGACACGUAGGUGAAGUGAUUUACUCAUGGAGCUGAAGUCAGUCGAAGAUACCAGCUGGCUGCAACUGUUUAUUAAAAACACAGCACUGUGCAAACACGAAAGUGGACGUAUACGGUGUGACGCCUGCCCGGUGCCGGAAGGUUAAUUGAUGGGGUCAGCGCAAGCGAAGCUCCUGAUCGAAGCCCCGGUAAACGGCGGCCGUAACUAUAACGGUCCUAAGGUAGCGAAAUUCCUUGUCGGGUAAGUUCCGACCUGCACGAAUGGCGUAAUGAUGGCCAGGCUGUCUCCACCCGAGACUCAGUGAAAUUGAACUCGCUGUGAAGAUGCAGUGUACCCGCGGCAAGACGGAAAGACCCCGUGAACCUUUACUAUAGCUUGACACUGAACAUUGAGCCUUGAUGUGUAGGAUAGGUGGGAGGCUUUGAAGUGUGGACGCCAGUCUGCAUGGAGCCGACCUUGAAAUACCACCCUUUAAUGUUUGAUGUUCUAACGUGGACCCGUUACCCGGGUUGCGGACAGUGUCUGGUGGGUAGUUUGACUGGGGCGGUCUCCUCCUAAAGAGUAACGGAGGAGCACGAAGGUUGGCUAAU
This 1633-nucleotide ribosomal RNA is filed under the name Salmonella enterica. RNAcentral describes it as "partial 23S ribosomal RNA". It matches the Rfam family "Bacterial large subunit ribosomal RNA", at positions 711 to 2325 of the family's 2925-position model. The record is from RNAcentral. Lineage: Bacteria; Pseudomonadati; Pseudomonadota; Gammaproteobacteria; Enterobacterales; Enterobacteriaceae.